AUACGAAAGGUGCAAGCGUUGUUCGGAUUUACGGGGCGUAAAGAGAUCGUAGGUGGUUUAUUAAGUCGGAUGUGAAAUCCCGGGGCUCAACCCCGGAACUGCAUUCGAUACUGGUAGACUAGAGUUUGGGAGGGGUAAGCGGAAUUCCGUGUGUAGCAGUGAAAUGCGUAGAUAUACGGAGGAACACCUGAGGCGAAGGCGGCUUACUGGACCAAUACUGACACUGAGGAUCGAAAGCGUGGGUAGCAAACAGGAUUAGAAACCCUAGUAGUCC
RNAcentral lists this ribosomal RNA (274 nucleotides) under uncultured bacterium. Its description in RNAcentral is "partial 16S ribosomal RNA". It matches the Rfam family "Bacterial small subunit ribosomal RNA", at positions 523 to 796 of the family's 1533-position model. The record is from RNAcentral.